RNAcentral lists this long non-coding RNA (439 nucleotides) under Pan troglodytes (chimpanzee). RNAcentral's name for it is "long non-coding RNA NONPTRT000437". Lineage: Eukaryota; Metazoa; Chordata; Mammalia; Primates; Hominidae. The record is from RNAcentral.
AGUUUUGUGUCCCUGCAGUAGAAGGCAGUGCCCAGAGUGAGUGUACCUACAGGAGAAAUUCUUGGACUUUCAGGGGCAUUGGUACAAACACCCAGUUACCAGCAGGCAUAAGAACAAGCCUUUUGCUUUCUCAUGAUGUAAAUGGAAGUACAGCCCUUGACUUAGACUCACUGAAGAAGCAAACGCUUGGGUACUAGCUCUUUCUAUGAGAGCUCUUCUGAAAAUGCAAACCACUAACCCAGGAAAGCAUUUAAGUUACCAGCUUUAUGGGAGCAUUAAAUGGAGAGAUGCCUGUUUGCCCAACAUCUAAAAGAGUUAGACUGUACUCUUAAAAAAAAAAGGCAGAGUUUUCUUUUUUAAAAUAUGUUUUCCUAGUUUGUUUUAUAAGAAUAAUAUUGGAUUAGUGUGGAAAAUUUGGAAAAUACAAAAAAGCACAAAG